UACGUAGGGGGCAAGCGUUGUCCGGAUUCAUUGGGCGUAAAGAGCGUGUAGGCGGCCAGGUAGGUCGGUUGUGAAAACUGGAGGCUCAACCUUCAGAGGUCGACCGAAACCAUCUGGCUAGAGUCCGGGAGAGGAGGGUGGAAUUCCUGGUGUAGCGGUGAAAUGCGCAGAUAUCAGGAAGAACACCUAUGGCGAAGGCAGCUCUCUGGGACGGUACUGACGCUGAGACGCGAAAGCGUGGGGAGCGAACAGG
RNAcentral lists this ribosomal RNA (253 nucleotides) under uncultured bacterium. Its description in RNAcentral is "partial 16S ribosomal RNA". It matches the Rfam family "Bacterial small subunit ribosomal RNA", at positions 524 to 776 of the family's 1533-position model. The record is from RNAcentral.